AAUGAGAAAGAAAUAUGGAGAAAAAUAGGAAACUCAACCACUGAUGGUGACAGCGGCGACAAUGGUGUUUGAACAAAAGUUGUAGUAAAAGAACUGGUGAAGGUUCGACAAAAAAAUGUGAAAUAUUGAAAUGAAAGAAAGAGGGAUGGAGGAGAAAAGAAAAUAGCAGUGGUGGUCAUAGUGGCAAUGGAAGUGACGAGGAAAAAGAAGAUGAGGUGCAGUGACCACGAGGCGUGGCGGUAAAUGGUGGAGGGCUCGAUAACAGUGGAGAAAGGUAGUAAAAGUGAAAAGAGGAAAGGGUGGUGGUGUUUCAAAAAAGACAAAAAAAUAGGUGAGAAUGGAAAGAGAAAAAAACACAAGAAUAAGGAGGAUAGGGAGGAAAGGUUGGUCAACUAGGU
This 398-nucleotide long non-coding RNA is filed under the name Gossypium raimondii (Peruvian cotton). RNAcentral's name for it is "long non-coding RNA (GRAI_LNC002652)". Lineage: Eukaryota; Viridiplantae; Streptophyta; Magnoliopsida; Malvales; Malvaceae. The record is from RNAcentral.